UGAAGGUCAAGAUAAUCUCCUAACUUCUGAUCAAAUGGAUCUCUAUCCACCAGGCCAGUGUAGAGACGGGGUUUCACCAUAUUGGUUAAGCUGGUCUGAAGCUCCUGACCUCAAAUGAUCCGCCUCGGCCUCCCAAAGUGCUGGAAUUACAGGCUUGAGCCACCAUGCCCAGCCAACCCUAUAGCUUUGCUUGUUCAUCCUGGGAAGGAACUGUGCAAGUUGGCGCUUCGGGCUUGGUAUAAAAACGGCUCCUGAAUUCCUGCCCAGUUGUAAUUUCCUUGGGGAUUUUGAGAGGGGCUCUUCAACGUUGCCAGGCUAUCACGGCCCUUUUGUUUGCAAGAGAGCAUUCCUGGACAAAACAUCUUCCAGAUUGCGGGUGAAUUUAAACAUCGCAGCUUCUUCUUUCAAUCAUAAUUUUCUGCUUGAGCCAAAAGCUGGAGUGUCCUCUUGCACCUGGAUUCCCCUCUGCCGCGGUUGAAAUGGGAGCGUGUAACUCUUUAUAUGUGAGACGUUUAUGGGCCAGACACUGGCAUUCCAACCCCCUCACCCAGGGCACUUGCUAUAAAAUAUUGAAGGCGAGCAGAGGCUAUCCUUGGAGGGAAUGCUGGUGAUGCCAGGCUCAUAAAAACCAGCCUUUUAAAAAUGAGUCCCUAAUCAGGAAUUGCACGCCCUCUCCCUCUCCAGUGCGCUCUGGCCUGGCAAAGCCCACUUGGGAAAGUAGGUGCUACUGAAAAGAGUCACUAGCCUCUACCUGUGGGACUUCUGUCUCCAGGGUGCUUCCAAAAUCUUUCGGGACUCUGUGUUCAGGACUAGAACUCUUCAUCCACGGGGCUCCAGUGCAACCCCCUCCAACCCCCAUCAGGAUCUGAAGGCAAGGAGGACCAGCGUCCAGGACCCGGUUUCUGCGCCCCCAGGCUCUGUAGAAGUUCUGGGAAGAAGUUCUCAUGGAAGCUGAGGGGAGGGAGACGCACGUCGGCGAACUCUGGGCCUAGCCAAGUUUCUAUAUUUUGAAGGGAGAACCAUGUACCUGCCCUUGGCCUCACCUGAAGACAAACACAGGAGCAAAAUUAAGCAGCGGAGCAACUUUCUGGAAAGGAGCUUAGGGAGAGAAAGCUGGUGCGAAACCGAGUGCGCGCUAGGCGUGUGCACCCGGGGAACAAGGCGUGCCCAGGGGUGUUCGCAGUGGCGGUGGGAUGGAUGCCCGCGCCACCUAUGCGCAGUUAUUUAUAAACUCAUUGUGGGCAUCAGGGUACCCACGACGCCGUUCGUGUCGUUCGUUCCCUUCCUCCUGGAAGGGAAGAGCAAACAAAGCAGUCCUUGGCAACGCUCAACCUCUCUGUGUCAUACAUGUGGUUUUCAGUGUAAAUGAAUUUAGUAAACGCCAAGGCAACAACCCUGUUUACUUGUUUCCGUGUAGAAAGGUUAGCUAACGAACCCGAAGCCAUCCUUCGCGCUUCUCUUUGAUUCCGUCUCAGAUUUACGGGCUUCUCCUCGGCUACACGACUCCAGCCAUCGCCCCCGCUCCCUUGGCCCAGGCAAAGAGAGCCCUAGGCUCCGAUUCCCGCCGCAGCUCAGAGCAAAGCGAUUGCAGGAUUUAUCAACCCCCCUCCCAGGACCUCGGAUUUCAUCUCUUUCUUUUCCCCCUGCAUGUUCAGUUUGUUUUUUCAAGACCUAAGCAAUUUUUAAUGUACUCUAUACUUCCCGCUUAAUCCUCAUCGUUUAUUGUAUAAUUAUAGUUUCAAAGUGAUUAUGUAAUUAAAAUCAUGUUUCGUUGCAGCAGGACUUCAAAAGGGCGGCAGACCCCCGCUCUGGCAUUAUUUUCUAGUGAUGUAAUAAUUUCCCUGUGAUAUUUAAAAUAAACACAUUAGUCCAAGAAUUCUAAACAUGUCUCAAAGUAUAUAGUAGGCUUGAUUGGCACGAGGCUGGGUUGUAAAGAAAUGGUAAAACCUAUCACUAGUUUAAUAUAUUUCUAUGCUCCCAUGCAGGGUAAAUUAUAGGAUAAUGGGGCGCAGGCGAUGGUAAGCUCUGUUUAUAUAAUCCAUUUCUUCACACGAGUUCCCAUUGCUUUCCCUUCCCUUUGCUGUAUGUGGUGGUUCUCUGAUCCCCUGACCUCAGCCAUGUGUUUUCACUUUUUCUUCUGAUCUCAAUUCCAUGACCAGCGGGGAAUAAAAUACAAAUUGAAUAGUAACCAUUCACAGGCCGCUCUUUUCAAACUGUUGUUAAAACCUCUUUGUCUUGUCUAGCGGUUGAUAGAUAAAUGUGUUGUGUUUCGCCUGACUUUUUU
RNAcentral lists this long non-coding RNA (2284 nucleotides) under Homo sapiens (human). RNAcentral's name for it is "HSALNT0089553". The record is from RNAcentral. Lineage: Eukaryota; Metazoa; Chordata; Mammalia; Primates; Hominidae.